GACGAACGCUGGCGGCGUGCUUAACACAUGCAAGUCGAACGGGCCCGCUCUCUUUUUUGGGGGUGGGUUGAGUGGCGAACGGGUGAGUAUCACGUUAGUAACCUGCCCCCUUCUCCUGGAUAACUGCUUGAAAGUGCCGCUAAUACGGGGUGUGCCGGCUGUUCCGCAUGGGCCUGGUCGUGAUAGUUUCAUCUUCGGGUGUUUCGGUGGGUGAUGGGCUCGCGGCCUAUCAGCUUGUUGGUGGGGUGAUGGCCCACCCAGUCGGUGAUGUGUAGCCGGCGUGAGAGGGUAGGCGGACAGACUGGGAGUGAGAGACGGGACAGACACGUGAGGGAGGCAGCGGUGGGGGGUGACGAACAGUGGGCGGAAGCCUGAUGCAGCGAGGGCGCGUGAGGGAUGGAGUCCUUCGGGUAGUGAACCUCUUUCUCCGGUGGUGAAGGCACUGUAAGAUGCGGCGGGGUUGACGGUAGCCGGAUAUGAAGCGCCGGCUAACUACGUG
Molecule: ribosomal RNA, 499 nt
Filed under: uncultured bacterium
Lineage: Bacteria
Description: partial 16S ribosomal RNA
Rfam family: Bacterial small subunit ribosomal RNA
Source: RNAcentral